CUGGAUUAGUUUUAUUUAUUCUGUUUGAAUUUGAUUAAAAAGCUGUCAAACGUAAGUCUACAUUUUUAUCAGCAGAAUACUUUCAUAAAACCAGUAUGAGAUGUGUUCAACUAGAACAUACUUUUCAAAAUAAAACAAUGUUUGAUAUAUUCUAGACAGUUACCCUUUUGUUUAUCCAUGACAACUGAAACUAUCAAAUGGAUAAAGCAAUCUAAGUCUAGUCAAGUAAUCCUUAGGGCAUAUGAAAAAAAAGGCUUUAAAAAAGUUCUUUCUAGAUGGAUUUAAUGUAAUUCACCAAUAAAGCAUCCUCAGAAGUAUAAUAAAAAUUCUACAUAAAAUGACAUAGCCAGGGAAAAGGAAGAUAUACAGUUUGAUGAAGAUUCAAAAUGGAUGUUAGCAUUAAAAAUGAGCAGUCAUGCAAUUCCUGUGUAAUAUAAAGAUCAAAAUUGCAGGGCACUAAUUUUGCUUCUAAUUUAUAAGAUAGUGUGUUUAUGGGACUACAUUUGUAUUUAUAAAAAAUUCAAUGGCAAAUGCUUUGAACUGUCAUUUUUCUUGAGAAAAAUUGCCAUUCAACAUGUUAUAUUUAUAAAUUUCACUGUAUAGCAUUGAAAAUAGCUGGACUAUAUUUAUAUAUACAAAAAUGUUCUGGAAAGAUGAAAUAUAUAUGUUUUGGUUGUGAACCUGAUCUCCUUCGUUCAAUUUACAAAUUAAUAGCUUCUGCCUUCCUACCUCUUUGUGUUCUAUCCGUGUCCAAGUAACAGUAUGGAGUCAUGUUUAAGGCAGCCUGGAUCUUGGGAAAGCACAUGUGUGCACAUGCACCCCUACUCCCAACCACACUCACUCACAUCUCCACAUACACAACCACACACCCAAUUCCCUGGAGCAGCAUUAAGGCCAUUUUUUGAAUAUGUGCUAGUCUUUGCAUAUUAUUUAAUAGCAUGAGGCAUGCAUGAUGUGCUCCUAGAAGUGCUAGAAGGCAUAGCACCAAAGGGGUUAAUGUAGAACACAUAGAGGCAAAUAUUGUCAAUUAUUUUAUUCAAAUGUUUGGAACUUAAACACAAA
Molecule: long non-coding RNA, 1062 nt
Filed under: Homo sapiens (human)
Lineage: Eukaryota; Metazoa; Chordata; Mammalia; Primates; Hominidae
Description: HSALNT0040743
Source: RNAcentral